RNAcentral lists this ribosomal RNA (495 nucleotides) under uncultured bacterium. Its description in RNAcentral is "bacterial SSU rRNA". It matches the Rfam family "Bacterial small subunit ribosomal RNA", at positions 1 to 507 of the family's 1533-position model. The record is from RNAcentral.
CACACGAGUUUGAUCCUGGCUCAGGAUGAACGCUGGCGGCGUGCCUAAUACAUGCAAGUCGAACGAGGUGCUUUUUGUAGCAAUACGAGGAGUAUCCUAGUGGCGAACGGGUGAGUAACGCGUGGGUGACCUACCCCAAAGUGUGGAAUAACAGUCCGAAAGGAUUGCUAAUGCCGCAUGUGGUCUGCGAGUUUAGAAAUCGUUGACUAAAGGAGCAAUUCGCUUUGGGAGGGACCUGCGUCCCAUCAGCUAGUUGGUGAGGUAACGGCUCACCAAGGCGACGACGGGUAGGGGACCUGAGAGGGUGGCCCCCCACAAUGGAACUGAAACACGGUCCAUACACCUACGGGUGGCAGCAGUAGGGAAUAUUGCACAAUGGGCGAAAGCCUGAUGCAGCAACGCCGCGUGCGCGAUGAAGGUCUUCGGAUCGUAAAGCGCUUUUCUGAGAGAUGAGAAAGGACAGUAUCUCAGGAAUAAGUCUCGGCUAACUACGUG